RNAcentral lists this transfer RNA (74 nucleotides) under Ruminococcus sp. Its description in RNAcentral is "tRNA-Gly". It matches the Rfam family "tRNA". Rfam says of the family: Transfer RNA (tRNA) molecules are approximately 80 nucleotides in length. Their secondary structure includes four short double-helical elements and three loops (D, anti-codon, and T loops). Further hydrogen bonds mediate the characteristic L-shaped molecular structure. tRNAs have two regions of fundamental functional importance: the anti-codon, which is responsible for specific mRNA codon recognition, and the 3' end, to which the tRNAs corresponding amino acid is attached (by aminoacyl-tRNA synthetases). tRNAs cope with the degeneracy of the genetic code in two manners: having more than one tRNA (with a specific anti-codon) for a particular amino acid; and 'wobble' base-pairing, i.e. permitting non-standard base-pairing at the 3rd anti-codon position. The record is from RNAcentral. RNAcentral also lists the same sequence under 4 other names. Lineage: Bacteria; Bacillati; Bacillota; Clostridia; Eubacteriales; Oscillospiraceae.
GCGGAUGUAGUUUAGUGGUAGAACUUCAGCCUUCCAAGCUGAUCGUGAGGGUUCGAUUCCCUUCAUCCGCUCCA